CAGCGCGCCAAACCAAUGCGGAAGUACUCCGCCACCUGUCGCUUUACAUAAACCUGUGACUCAUUAUGCUACGCUAAAUGUCGGUAAUUGUUGUCCGGAGAAGGGACCUGGGACAGCAAACAACAACAAAAAUCACCAUGGAGAAAUCCAACAGUUCAACAUGAUAUUAAUUCAGGCACUACCUGGCUAUGAUGCAGCACGGGAGUUUAAUCAUCAUCUCUUACAUCUACCGUCUAUGAAAUUGAGCAGGAUUUCUUACCUCCCAGUAAAUAGAGUCGUCGAAGCAGUUCUGGUCUGGAGGUUGUCCCCAGAUAGGCAACUUCAUUAUUAAUCCUUGAGCAAGGAAAUAUAUUUUUGGUCACCCUGGUCACAAUCGACCAACCAUACUGAACCACUUAAACAUAGCUACUAUUGUGCAAUAAAAGCACAUCCAAUAUAAUGUUUUUAUACCAAUGAAAUGGCUGCUGAGCGUUGAGUGUCACUUCUUCACCCACCUGUGAUAGCCCCUCCAACCAGAGCAAACCCAAGGGAUGAAGCCAAGGCGGCGGCUUGCAUGGCGGCAUUCCCUCUAAAAGCCACAGCCACAAUACCGGCCAGGCCUCCCAGGAUGCCCGGCAUGCCAUGCAGAUUGUGUACACCGCAGGUAUCCUGGAUGCCCAGAUUAGAUGCCAGAAUAGGCUGUAGAGAAAAGCAACUUCAAUGUGCUCGUUUAUGGAGAAGAUGCUGAUCUCCAGGAUGGUCAUAAUGAGCAGCUGAACAGGGCUGGUUUUACCCAGAACCGCUCCGAAGGAGAUCAGGACUGUGGCUGUGCUGAAGUCUGCGUUGAUGAUUCUUCAAUGAGAGUGAAAGUUUGAACUCCCCAGGACUCUGUGCAUGCAGCACUUUGUCUUUCAACGCCACUGCAGCUUUACAGAUGCCAUGCCUUGCGUGAACCAUGGUGGCAUGACAUUUUUUUUCAUUCCGCUAUGUGAAUGUGCACACACUAACAGUAACAUCUUGCUUUGCUGGGUUCUGUGGCAAAUAAAAUGCUGUUUUAUCUUUAGUGGUUCCAUUUGUCAGUUGAGUGAUGCUGCCAAAUAUGUGAGGACGCUUAAAAAAACCUUAAAAUGCUAACAUUUGCUUUACACCUGCAGUGAUGCCUUGUAGAUAACCUAUUUGACGCUUUGAAGUUUGCAUUUGAUGCCCCGUUUUGUGGUGACUAAAGAACAUGGUUGUAAGCUGCGCGCUGAAUACGAGGAGAUAAAGUUGGGACGCAGCCACAGCAUCUGGCAUCACGCCCAGACGUUAGGUAACGCUCACACGGAGAGAUUACCGCUUGGGGUGAAAUGUGCAUGUGAAGGAGCGAUGCUUGAAAUCAUUUUGCACCACAAAAAUGUCAUUCAUGUUCUUUAUGUGCAAAGAUGCUUCGGCUUGACACGGUAUCCUGUGUGUGGAUUAUGUUUCGUGGACACGCAUAUUGCAAAACAUGUAAAUGUACUUAAAUCCUAUGGCAACGACCCUUAACAUCCCUUGAAGGUAACUUUGGACGACCCUCUCUGAUGGCUCACCUCACGUUUAUUCUCUUAAUGACAUCGGUUACGGUCCACUGUGCAACCCACACUGGUUUUGACAUGGUCAUUAUGUUUCUAGUUGUGUAACAAUAUAGCAAAAAGUGAAAAUCUCUCUAAAAAAAAAAAAAAAAAAAAAUUAUCUCUGUGGGUCACACCCGCCACACCCAACUGUGAGCGGACACUUCAGUGCAGCACUAAACUGCAGGAGAGUUGCAGAUGCAUAUUCUUUACUAUAUGCCACCCGACACUCCUCUGGAGGUCCUUUUUUUAUGAACAGGCGUGGAUGGAGAGGAACAUAACACCCGUGACUCCUGACACUCUUUCUGUUCAACGUGUGAUUGGAAAAAAAACAUGUUUUGCAUUAAUAGUAAUUCCACCUGACAGAGUACAAACCUUGAUAUGAAGCUGAUAAUGAGUUAUUGAAAUGACUUCAAAGUUGCAUUCAUUGAUUUAAGUCAACAGGAAGCCAAAAUGCAUAAAAGAUUUGAAUCAUAUUAGUGUGUCACAAGACUCUUUAUCAUUGUAUAUUAAGAUAACCAUUCUGCUGCCUUGUAGUGAGGCAUGUGGCGGCCAGUUCACCUCACAUUUCGGUACCAAGUAGGGUUCCAAUAUAGAGCUAAAAGCAUUAUAAUGGAGCAGAAUCGAUAAAAUAAAAAGUUUUGAUUUCUGCAGUAUUAUAGACAUCCCACUCAGCGCAUCCUUUAUCCAGCAGCACCAGUCACACUUACUGGGAUAGAGCUCCAUAGGCGGGUCGUGGUGGCCCGUGUUGUUGGAGUGCGAGUCGUGGCCGUGACCUUUGCCGUCAUCGUAGACCACAAAAACUGCAAACAAGAUGAUGGUAAUAAUCUCCAAAGCCAAGGCCACGAUGGGGAACUUCAGCCUCAUGUUGGUGGCGUACGCCGGCAUGCUGAGACGCUAUAGUUAUCUGUCUGUGGCACUUGCACAUGCACAUACACACACAGGAACGUGCAAUGUGCACUCACACACACACACACACGCAGUAAGCCUCAAUUUCUAACUGAGUGAAGGGAAAGAAGAAAGUGGCAUCUGCUUUUAAACUGAUGCGGGUUUUGUUGUGGCCAAUGACAGAGCAGAAGUCUUGGGCCUGGAUGAUGAACACCCCCUCUUU
Doryrhamphus excisus (bluestripe pipefish) is the source of this 2679-nucleotide non-coding RNA. The record is from RefSeq and is a predicted model, not a curated record. NCBI's taxonomy places the organism in Eukaryota, Metazoa, Chordata, Actinopteri, Syngnathiformes, Syngnathidae.